Ornithodoros turicata is the source of this 2588-nucleotide RNA transcript. RefSeq lists it as uncharacterized. The transcript has 6 exons. NCBI's taxonomy places the organism in Eukaryota, Metazoa, Arthropoda, Arachnida, Ixodida, Argasidae. The record is from RefSeq and is a predicted model, not a curated record.
UAUUCUGAGCACCCUGUCUUGUCUGCAGCGGGACUCUUCCCCGCAGCGCUGCCGAAUAAAGUAUCAUGUCACUGCCACAAACUGGUGACCCGGACUUGAACCGUGCUUCUCAGCCUUCCGCCGGCGAUCACGUUUCUCCGCCGCCCGGCCCCCAGCCCUCUACUUCCUACGAUUCCACUAUCUCAGCGGCAUCGCAGGCACACGUUCGCCUCCCACCUUUCUGGGCCCAUGACCCCGUCCUCUGGUUUGUCCAGGUCGACAACUACUUUUCCAUGCGGCGAAUAACGUCGGAUACGAGCAAGUAUCAGUACCUAGUGGAAAGCUUACCUCCGUCGGCCGCCGCCGAAGUUCGCGAUAUCUUGCUCGCCCCCCCACCCAGCGAUGCUUAUACAGCACUCAAGGAUGCCCUCAUUACGCGGCUGAUGACGUCCGAGCAGCGCCGCAUUCAGCAACUCCUUUCUUGCGACGACCUUGGCGACCGUAAGCCCACGCAGCUGCUUCGCCACCUGCAAUACCUUCUUGGUGAUAAGGCUGCCACCAUCGACUCCGCAAUUCUGAGAGAAAUUUUUCUACAGCGUCUCCCCGGCGAUUUCUUUCCAGCCACUGAUCGACCUCCGCCAGAUUACACAACCUAUGCUCUUCGCCUCAGGACGCUGAUGAACAGUCUUUCUCCUACUCCGACCCGCGCUGCUGAACCAAAGUCUCCGUUCGUGCCUCCAGACCUCGAUACUGCCACACGUGUAUUCCUGCGGCACGACGCAGUGUGCAAGCCGUUGCAGCCCCCCUACGACGGCCCCUUCAGAGUUUUGUCACGCUCCGACAGCCCCUUCACGGUGCAGCUCCCCAAUCGGCAGGAAGUUGUCGCCAAAGCCCGCCUGAAACUCGCUUAUCUCGAGUCCGACACAACGCCUGCCCCUCCUGCACCUGCGUCGCUCAGCACACCGCCCCCACCACCACGACGGCACCAGCCCCGUGGACGCCAUGUACACUGGGCGCUUCCGCUUUCCCGAGAAGGGGGCCCAUUGUAGCGGUGACGACGACGACGGUGGUGCGCUCUGCCCCUCACGCGCCGAUAUUCUGAGCACCCUGUCUUGUCUGCAGCGGGACUCUUCCCCGCAGCGCUGCCGAAUAAAGUAUCAUGUCACUGCCACAAGGCAAAGCAAAAAAGCUACUCAACCGUCGUCCAACGAUUGGCCCAAGGCUAGAGGUCACGUGAGUUUUUCCCGACAAUAGAAAUAUACUACUCGUUUAUUCCCCUGGUUGAGCCAUGUCCAACUUUUUCCGUGCCGUGACCCCGCCUACGCUCGGUCGCCCAAUGAGCGCUGCGUAUGAAACCUACUGUGUUUAGCCAUGGGAGAAAAAUGCUGCUGGCAACCAUGCGAGCAAUGAAAACAAACAAGUGAGAAAAAAAUGGCGACGUCAGGCGUGGACGCAAAACAGCUGAUCGAAUUAGUUAGAAAAUUUCCCUAUUUGUAUGACUUAUCGCACCCACACUUCAAAGAUACACAGAGAAAAGAAAGCACUUGGAGAUCCAUUGCGGAGAGGUUUGGCGUAACAGGCAAGUGUUGUUGUUGCAGUAGUUUUUUUAACGAGAUUCACUUAUGUCUUGUGGUGCCGUAGGGGACGCGGUAAUGAAAAAAUGGGUAAACCUGAGGGAUAGGUACCGCAAACUUAAAAAAGACCGUGACGGCAAGCUCCAGAGUGGCGCGGCGGCCGUUCCUCGAGUGUCGUGGAAGUUCUACACUAUCUUGGUGCGUGCGUGGGUAUCCCCAGUUUCUCAUGGUAUGAUCAGUGAUUUGAGCAAGAGGUCCCCGAGCUUGAGGCACGCGCUCGGAAACAAUUGCCGCAGCUACUUAUCUCUGCGAUCUGCUUUGAACUUUUGACAAGUCGUACACAGAGCGCGCGCCUCUAGAGCGGUCCGAGGCCACCAGUUGAACAUGACAUAAGAUUGAGACCUCACCCAUUUCGCUUGUGCAUCAUACAAUAAUGUCUUACUUUUAUAUAAAGCCCUGUAUCGAACCUCGGCAUUGAGGAGCCGGAACCAUCAUUGGCACUAUUGGAGGAGAGCAUCAUGCAGUCACAACGAAGUGAACCACAUAUCAUACUGGAUGAAGACGAACUUACCCUUAGCCCAGGGUUUGUUGGGCACCCCGCUUCAACAGAAGCAAGUGGUGAACCAGAGAGAAGUGACGAUCGGAGCACGUCAGACUCCAGUGGACCUCCGAGGGCCAUGGCAAGGUCCAAGGGUUCGAAGAAGCGGCCUACAUUAAACCUAAACAUACACCUGCGCUUGACUUCAUGACCACCUUCUUUCCAGGAACAGCAGUGAUGACGGGUUGGCGGAGCUCCGCUCUGCCUCCCUGGACACCAUGGACAAACUAGCAAAGAAACAAAAGGACCCAGACCGGAUAGAUUUAUUUUUUAGUUAUUUGGCAGCAUCCGCAAAGGAUCUCCCUCAUCAGACACAAGACGUAUUUUUGAAUAGGUGCCAAGCACUUCUGUUUGAAUUGCAAGGAGAUACGAAUAACUAAACAAAAAUGUGUUCGGCAAAUCAAUGGUUUAUGUGCAAUAAAUUGUGAGUCACGGCA